GCCUACGGGGCGCAGCAGUGGGGAAUAUUGCACAAUGGGGGAAACCCUGAUGCAGCGACGCCGCGUGAAGGAAGAAGUAUUUCGGUAUGUAAACUUCUAUCAGCAGGGAAGAAAAUGACGGUACCUGACUAAGAAGCCCCGGCUAACUACGUGCCAGCAGCCGCGGUAAUACGUAGGGGGCAAGCGUUGUUCGGAAUGACUGGGCGUAAAGGGUGUGUAGGCGGUGUAGCAAGUUAGAAGUGAAAUACCUAGAGCUUAACUCAGGUGCUGCUUCUAAAACUGCUAUACUUGAUUGCAGUAGAGGG
This 305-nucleotide ribosomal RNA is filed under the name uncultured bacterium. RNAcentral's name for it is "bacterial SSU rRNA". It matches the Rfam family "Bacterial small subunit ribosomal RNA", at positions 337 to 658 of the family's 1533-position model. The record is from RNAcentral.